This is a small nuclear RNA of Anolis carolinensis (green anole), 189 nucleotides long. Its record names the gene U2. It matches the Rfam family "U2 spliceosomal RNA". Rfam says of the family: U2 is a small nuclear RNA (snRNA) component of the spliceosome (involved in pre-mRNA splicing). Complementary binding between U2 snRNA (in an area lying towards the 5' end but 3' to hairpin I) and the branchpoint sequence (BPS) of the intron results the bulging out of an unpaired adenosine, on the BPS, which initiates a nucleophilic attack at the intronic 5' splice site, thus starting the first of two transesterification reactions that mediate splicing. The record is from Ensembl. Lineage: Eukaryota; Metazoa; Chordata; Lepidosauria; Squamata; Anolidae.
AUUGCUUCUCGGCCUUUUGGCUAAGAUCAAGUGUAGUAUCAUAAUCUGUAAAGUAAAUAUUUCGUAUUAAUCUAAGAUGAAUAUUAUAUAGCCCAAUUUUACAGUGUUUCAGAAAAUACGUUUGAAAUUUCCAGACAGGAAUUUGACAAACAGUUUUGGUAUUAUUUCUUCAAAUCCCGUUCAAUCCUU